This 459-nucleotide ribosomal RNA is filed under the name uncultured bacterium. Its description in RNAcentral is "SSU rRNA". It matches the Rfam family "Bacterial small subunit ribosomal RNA", at positions 26 to 518 of the family's 1533-position model. The record is from RNAcentral.
AGAAUCAACGCUGGCGGCGUGCCUAACACAUGCAAGUCGAACGAGAAAGUGGAGCAAUCCAUGAGUAAAGUGGCGCACGGGUGAGUAACACGUGACUAACCUACCCUUGAGUGGGGGAUAACCUAGGGAAACCUGGGCUAAUACCGCAUAAUACCUUCGGGUCAAAGGAGCAAUUCGCUUAAGGAGGGGGUCGCGGCCGAUUAGUUAGUUGGCGGGGUAAUGGCCCACCAAGACUAUGAUCGGUAUCCGGCCUGAGAGGGCGCACGGACACACUGGAACUGAAACACGGUCCAGACUCCUACGGGAGGCAGCAGUGGGAAUUUUGCGCAAUGGGGGAAACCCUGACGCAGCAACGCCGCGUGGAGGAUGAAGUCCCUUGGGACGUAAACUCCUUUCGAUCGGGACGAUUAUGACGGUACCGAGAGAAGAAGCCCCGGCUAACUUCGUGCCAGCAGCCGC